GCCUCUAAUGAUGAUCAAAACAUUACUUUCGUUCUUCCGAGAUAUUCUUAUGCGGAAAAAAUAUUGGAGACCUGAACUGAAGAGGC
Molecule: small nucleolar RNA, 86 nt
Filed under: Spinacia oleracea (spinach)
Lineage: Eukaryota; Viridiplantae; Streptophyta; Magnoliopsida; Caryophyllales; Amaranthaceae
Description: Small nucleolar RNA Z159/U59
Rfam family: Small nucleolar RNA Z159/U59
About the family: This family consists of several snoRNA Z159 or U59 sequences which are members of the C/D class of snoRNA which contain the C (UGAUGA) and D (CUGA) box motifs. This family seems to be found exclusively in rice.
Source: Rfam by way of RNAcentral